CAGCUAGUCUCUCUUAUUUGGAAACUGGCACACUGGUUUCCACAGCAACAGGACUUCUCCACUCUGUCCUCUCUGAGAGCCAUCUCAGAAGCGUUUUGGCAUAGAUAUCAAGGCCCAGGGUGAGCAGACUUCUCAGAGAGGAUGAAUCAUCUGCAUACUUCAUCCAAAGGGAAUUGGACUUUCUAAGCCCAAAGGUCUCAUGUGAUGUAAAUAGUGAAGCUGAGGCUAGGAUGUCAGGGUGUUAGGGAGGCUGGCUAUACUCAGAAAGCAGGAAUGCUGAGUCAGGUGAUGGAGACAGAUUUUGAUGAGUGUUGUGAAUUACUGGUUUGGCAUGGAACAUGCAAUGGCUUUGUACCAAAUCAUCGAGGGGGAAAAAGGAUUGGCACCAGCAGAGACCCUGACUUGCUCUAGAUAGAGUGAUGGUGUCUGUGAGCUCCUGCUCAGAGACCUGGAGAGCUUGUGAAGUGUCACACAAUCCUUCCGAGGAGGGCGAAACUGAUAAGCUGUCCCCUAAAGGGAGGAGGAGAAUCAUUCUUCUGGCUCAGUGACAACCGUCUUGCCCAUCAGGGGUGGAUAAAGGCUAUUUCUCAGAUAGGACAAUGGAAAUGAGGGGUUAGGGGUGGGGGUGAUCUUCAGGUGGGUAGGAGUGAAAUAUCUUGAUUUGGAGUGAAGGUAGUUUUCCUUUCUGAUUGUUCCAGAAGAGGACAAAAUUGACUAGAUGGUGGAUGACAGUUGCCCUUUGCAUAGAGGCUGGAUGUAGAAGGAAAAGUACAGUGCUUGAGAGUUCUGCACAGUGGUUAGGUACUGGAGGAACUGGAACUUACUUUGGGAAACUGACCAUUGAUAGGGUCUUGUUUUUACCUUGGUUAUUUCCCUGUUUCUUUUCACAUUUGUAACCAACAAAGGAAGAAGGAUGAAUAGAUCUCUGCAGUUUUUAUAUUAGAAGAUCUUGCUAAUUGCUUUGUGAUUUGAGCAGGUGGAUGAGAUUCCUGAUUUCCAUAAUUAUCUGUGCCUGGAGGUUUAUAGAGGAAAGGAUCACUGGGUAGAUGAAACGCAGUGCCUACGAGUGGGGAGUACACUCCAGGGCGUGGAAAGAACUUCCUUCAGACAGCUGGAGACGACCUUCUGUGUGGGUAGGUGGGGACAUAAUCCCUUUUAUCCCGGCUUUCGUUUGCUUAAUUACCUCCUUAGCAGUACUCUUCAUGGCUGCAACAGGUGUCAGGCUUUGUAAAGGCAGACACUGAGAGCUGGCCAAGAUCCUUCGUCAGUCCUAACUGUGUGGCUGGACCUUCAAUACCAUGAGGUCUUGUUCCCAAUUGCCGUCUCUUGUCCUGGGGAUGAGAGAUAAAGUGUUGUGUUCAUUUCUGAUAGAAGUCCGGGAACCAGUCAGGAAGGGCCGCCCCUCCUUCCGCAUCCAAGAAAGAAACUACAAUGGAAGAAUUAGAGUGGGAGGACAGGCAUGGGGGAUGGAUACCAAGGGCUUUGUCCUUGCCUUGGAAAAUUGUCCUAUACGUUUGCAAAUCACAGGGAGUUAGCAGAGAAGAAACAACCGGAUUCUUUUCAUCACCUUAGCCCACAUAUUAUCUUGAGAUAAUGAGCACUACACUACACUUUGAGGGAGUGCAGAAACAUGGGAAGUGCAUGAUUAUGUGAUUUGGGACACUGGGAUUUGAGACUGCCCUGGCCAGUUGUGGAGCCUUGGGGAAGUUUCUCUGGCUUUCUGGGUCUCUCCAGUUUUCUCCUCUCUUGGUGGGGGUAGGGAGAGUGGGUGGACAGGGAUUAGGUGGUCUCUAUUCUAUGACUCACCAGCUACAGCACAGCCACGUCUCACAUACCCAGCCAAAGAUGUUGAUUGCUCUCAGCAGCCUUGCACUCUCCCCUCUCCUGCCUCCCCAGUGGGUUAUCGUGCUGACUCGACUAACACAACCCCCAUCUGGAUGCAGUCCAAACGCCAGAUGUGCCCCCGAUUAGCGUCGGUCUGGGGAAUGUUUCCAUGACUGAAAGGUCAGUGUCGGCUGGAAGUGCCCAGAGUGGGCUUCUGCCCCCCACCCGUGUCAGCUGCAAGAGCUGAACCUUCCAUUUAUCUCGUUGGCCCAGGAUCUUAGUUGGGGCAGCAGGGGAUGGGGGCAGGGGCUGGCCAAGUCCAGGAGGGGCCUUGUUUUACUGGCCUUCCCUUUUUGCUCUCCAGCGAAGGACAGAGUGUGAUUUUCCACUUGGAAGAGACUCCAGGGGUGUGCAAAGAGGGAAGUCCUGCUGGUGUGUAACUGAAAACACUUUGUUCUCCUUUAGAUCUUCAAUGUGCUCAUGUCUCUUCUGAUUUUCUUAGGGGGCCGUCACCUCCACUACGGAAAGAAAAAUGAACGAUAAUGUUGUGAUGGGCUGGGCUGCCGUGUUUUGCCCUAUUUACAGAUGUGAUGGCUGGAACUCUAGCAGCCACCUGCAGAACAUGAGGACAAGGGGCUUACUAUAGCAUGGGAGAGUGAUUAGCUGCCUCCAGAGGAUCAAAAAAAUGCCAAAUAGCCUUGGAUCAUCAGCUUCUAGCAUUAUUUUCAAUUGAAAAGAAAUAAACUGUCUUGUUUAAGUCACUUUGAUGUUGGACUUUUCUGUCACAUAGGAUAUAACCCUAACUAAUCCAGUGGUCACACAUUUGGUUUCUGGAGUCAGAUUACCUGGGUUGAAAUCCCACUUCCAUCAUUUUAUGGCCUCCAAUGUGGGCAAAUCUCUUAACCCCUAUAAGCCUCCAGUUUUCUGGACUGUGAAAUGGGAGUAUCAUUAUACUUAUUGCAUAGACUUGUUAUAUGUAUUAACGUAAUAUAAUGUAUGC
Equus caballus (horse) is the source of this 2824-nucleotide long non-coding RNA. Lineage: Eukaryota; Metazoa; Chordata; Mammalia; Perissodactyla; Equidae. The record is from Ensembl.